CGCGUGAAAGCGCGUGACCCGUUCGGGGGAUUUGCACAGGUGCUGCAUGGCCGUCGUCAGCUCGUGUCGUGAGAUGUUGGGUUAAGUCCCGCAACGAGCGCAACCUUGUGUUUAGUUGCCAGCACGUAAAGGUGGGAACUCUAGACAGACUGCCCAGAUCAACUGGGAGGAAGGUGGGGACGACGUCAGGUCAGUAUGGCCCUUACGCCUAGGGCUGCACACGUACUACAAUGCCCAGUACAAUGAGAGCCGAGACCGCGAGGUGGAGGAAAUCUGCAAAACUGGGCUCAGUUCGGAUUGGAGGCUGCAACUCGCCUCCAUGAAGUCGGAAUCGCUAGUAAUGGCGCAUCAGCUACGGCGCCGUGAAUACGUUCCCGGGUCUUGUACACACCGCCCGUCACAUCAUGGAAGUCAGUCGCACCCGAAGCGCCUGUGCCAACCGCAAGGAGGCAGGGUUCUAAGGUGUAGCCGGUAACUGGGAUGAAGUCGUAACAAGGUAAGCGUAGUGCU
This 510-nucleotide ribosomal RNA is filed under the name uncultured bacterium. RNAcentral's name for it is "bacterial SSU rRNA". It matches the Rfam family "Bacterial small subunit ribosomal RNA", at positions 998 to 1509 of the family's 1533-position model. The record is from RNAcentral.